This 406-nucleotide ribosomal RNA is filed under the name uncultured bacterium. RNAcentral describes it as "partial 16S ribosomal RNA". It matches the Rfam family "Bacterial small subunit ribosomal RNA", at positions 30 to 526 of the family's 1533-position model. The record is from RNAcentral.
AUUGAACGCUGGCGGCAGGCCUAAUACAUGCAAGUCGAACGAGUGGCGGACGGGUGAGUCAUGUCUGGGAAACUGCCCGAUGGCGGGGGAUAACUACUGGAAACGGUAGCUAAUACCGCAUACCAUCGGAUGUGCCCAGAUGGGAUUAGCUAGUAGGUGGGGUAAUGGCUCACCUAGGCGACGAUCCCUAGCUGGUCUGAGAGGAUGACCAGCCACACUGGAACUGAGACACGGUCCAGACUCCUACGGGAGGCAGCAGUGGGGAAGAUUGCGCAAUGGGCGUAAGCCUGAUGCAGCCAUGCCGCGUGUAUGAAGAAGGCCUUCGGGUUGUAAAGUACUUUCAGCGGGGAGGCGGUACCCGCAGAAAAAGCACCGGCUAACUCCGUGCCAGCAGCCGCGGUAAUUC